This 2881-nucleotide ribosomal RNA is filed under the name Burkholderia multivorans. Its description in RNAcentral is "23S ribosomal RNA". It matches the Rfam family "Bacterial large subunit ribosomal RNA". Lineage: Bacteria; Pseudomonadati; Pseudomonadota; Betaproteobacteria; Burkholderiales; Burkholderiaceae. The record is from RNAcentral.
GGUCAAGCGAACAAGUGCAUGUGGUGGAUGCCUUGGCGAUCACAGGCGAUGAAGGACGCGGUAGCCUGCGAAAAGCCCCGGGGAGCUGGCAAACAAGCUUUGAUCCGGGGAUGUCCGAAUGGGGAAACCCACUCCGUAUGGAGUAUCCAUGACUGAAUACAUAGGUCAUGUGAAGCGAACGCGGUGAACUGAAACAUCUAAGUAACCGCAGGAACAGAAAUCAACCGAGAUUCCCAAAGUAGUGGCGAGCGAAAUGGGAUGAGCCUUGUACUCUUUAUUCGUAUUGUUAGCCGAACGCUCUGGAAAGUGCGGCCAUAGCAGGUGAUAGCCCUGUAGGCGAAAACAGUAUGAAAGAACUAGGUGUACGACAAGUAGGGCGGGACACGUGAAAUCCUGUCUGAAGAUGGGGGGACCAUCCUCCAAGGCUAAAUACUCGUGAUCGACCGAUAGUGAACCAGUACCGUGAGGGAAAGGCGAAAAGAACCCCGGGAGGGGAGUGAAAUAGAUCCUGAAACCGCAUGCAUACAAACAGUCGGAGCCUCGUAAGGGGUGACGGCGUACCUUUUGUAUAAUGGGUCAGCGACUUACGUUCAGUAGCAAGCUUAACCGUAUAGGGCAGGCGUAGCGAAAGCGAGUCCGAAUAGGGCGUUCAGUUGCUGGGCGUAGACCCGAAACCAGGUGAUCUAUCCAUGGCCAGGAUGAAGGUGCGGUAACACGUACUGGAGGUCCGAACCCACUAACGUUGAAAAGUUAGGGGAUGAGCUGUGGAUAGGGGUGAAAGGCUAAACAAACCUGGAAAUAGCUGGUUCUCUCCGAAAACUAUUUAGGUAGUGCCUCGUGUCUCACCUUCGGGGGUAGAGCACUGUCAUGGUUGGGGGGUCUAUUGCAGAUUACCCCGCCAUAGCAAACUCCGAAUACCGAAGAGUGCAAUCACGGGAGACAGACAUCGGGUGCUAACGUCCGGUGUCAAGAGGGAAACAACCCAGACCGCCAGCUAAGGUCCCCAAAUAUGGCUAAGUGGGAAACGAAGUGGGAAGGCUAAAACAGUCAGGAGGUUGGCUUAGAAGCAGCCACCCUUUAAAGAAAGCGUAAUAGCUCACUGAUCGAGUCGUCCUGCGCGGAAGAUGUAACGGGGCUAAGCCAUAUACCGAAGCUGCGGAUGCGUGCUUGCACGCAUGGUAGGAGAGCGUUCCGUAAGCCUGCGAAGGUGCCUUGUAAAGGGUGCUGGAGGUAUCGGAAGUGCGAAUGCUGACAUGAGUAGCGAUAAAGGGGGUGAAAGGCCCCCUCGCCGUAAGCCCAAGGUUUCCUACGCAACGUUCAUCGGCGUAGGGUGAGUCGGCCCCUAAGGCGAGGCAGAAAUGCGUAGCUGAUGGGAAGCAGGUCAAUAUUCCUGCACCAUUGUUAGAUGCGAUGGGGGGACGGAUCGCGGAAGGUUGUCCGGGUGUUGGACGUCCCGGUCGCUGCAUUGGAGAAGGCGCUUAGGCAAAUCCGGGCGCGGAAUUCAAGGGUGUGGCGCGAGCUCCUUAGGGAGCGAAGCAAUUGGAAGUGGUUCCAAGAAAAGCCUCUAAGCUUCAGUCUAACGAUGACCGUACCGCAAACCGACACAGGUGGGCGAGAUGAGUAUUCUAAGGCGCUUGAGAGAACUCGGGAGAAGGAACUCGGCAAAUUGGUACCGUAACUUCGGGAUAAGGUACGCCCUUGUAGCUUGACUGGCCUGCGCCAGGAGGGUGAAGGGGUUGCAAUAAACUGGUGGCUGCGACUGUUUAAUAAAAACACAGCACUCUGCAAACACGAAAGUGGACGUAUAGGGUGUGACGCCUGCCCGGUGCCGGAAGAUUAAAUGAUGGGGUGCAAGCUCUUGAUUGAAGUCCCGGUAAACGGCGGCCGUAACUAUAACGGUCCUAAGGUAGCGAAAUUCCUUGUCGGGUAAGUUCCGACCUGCACGAAUGGCGUAACGAUGGCCACACUGUCUCCUCCCGAGACUCAGCGAAGUUGAAGUGUUUGUGAUGAUGCAAUCUACCCGCGGCUAGACGGAAAGACCCCAUGAACCUUUACUGUAGCUUUGCAUUGGACUUUGAACCGAUCUGUGUAGGAUAGGUGGGAGGCUAUGAAACCGGAACGCUAGUUUCGGUGGAGCCGUCCUUGAAAUACCACCCUGGUUUGUUUGAGGUUCUAACCUUGGUCCGUGAUCCGGAUCGGGGACAGUGCAUGGUAGGCAGUUUGACUGGGGCGGUCUCCUCCCAAAGGGUAACGGAGGAGUACGAAGGUACGCUAGGUACGGUCGGAAAUCGUGCUGAUAGUGCAAUGGCAUAAGCGUGCUUAACUGCGAGACCGACAAGUCGAGCAGGUGCGAAAGCAGGUCAUAGUGAUCCGGUGGUUCUGUAUGGAAGGGCCAUCGCUCAACGGAUAAAAGGUACUCUGGGGAUAACAGGCUGAUACCGCCCAAGAGUUCAUAUCGACGGCGGUGUUUGGCACCUCGAUGUCGGCUCAUCUCAUCCUGGGGCUGUAGCCGGUCCCAAGGGUAUGGCUGUUCGCCAUUUAAAGAGGUACGUGAGCUGGGUUUAAAACGUCGUGAGACAGUUUGGUCCCUAUCUGCCGUGGGCGUUGGAUAUUUGAAGGGGGCUGCUCCUAGUACGAGAGGACCGGAGUGGACGAACCUCUGGUGUACCGGUUGUGACGCCAGUCGCAUCGCCGGGUAGCUAUGUUCGGAAGAGAUAACCGCUGAAAGCAUCUAAGCGGGAAACUCGCCUUAAGAUGAGAUAUCCCUGGAGGCUUGACCUCCUUGAAGGGUCGUUCGAGACCAGGACGUUGAUAGGUCGGGUGUGUAAGCGCAGUAAUGCGUUCAGCUAACCGAUACUAAUUGCCCGUAAGGCUUGAUCCU